This 301-nucleotide ribosomal RNA is filed under the name uncultured bacterium. RNAcentral describes it as "partial 16S ribosomal RNA". It matches the Rfam family "Bacterial small subunit ribosomal RNA", at positions 509 to 807 of the family's 1533-position model. The record is from RNAcentral.
CAGUCGCCACGGGAAUACGAAGGGGGCUAGCGUUGCUCGGAAUGACUGGGCGUAAAGGGCGCGUAGGCGGAUCACGCAGUCAGAUGUGAAAUUCCUGGGCUUAACCUGGGGGCUGCAUUUGAGACGCGUGGUCUAGAGUGUGAAAGAGGGUCGUGGAAUUCCCAGUGUAGAGGUGAAAUUCGUAGAUAUUGGGAAGAACACCGGUGGCGAAGGCGGCGACCUGGUUCAUGACUGACGCUGAGGCGCGAAAGCGUGGGGAGCAAACAGGAUUAGAUACCCGAGUAGUCCCUGUCUCUUAUAC